CAGUGUAAAGCCAUCCAAAGAUAGACCCAGUCGGAUAUUGUAUGAUUCCUGAGCAAAUAAAAUAAAAGAUGGUAAGCAUCAAAUUACUUCCAUACCUCACUAUCUGAUGGAUGACUAUCAUAUCAGAGUGCUUGCAAAUUUUUUUUUUGUGCCAUCUUAUUUGUCCAGCAGUACUCUUAGACAAGUAGAACCUCCGAAGUCUAGGAGUGAGGAGA
This 215-nucleotide long non-coding RNA is filed under the name Elaeis guineensis (African oil palm). Its description in RNAcentral is "long non-coding RNA (EGUI_LNC013198)". Lineage: Eukaryota; Viridiplantae; Streptophyta; Magnoliopsida; Arecales; Arecaceae. The record is from RNAcentral.